This 274-nucleotide ribosomal RNA is filed under the name uncultured bacterium. Its description in RNAcentral is "partial 16S ribosomal RNA". It matches the Rfam family "Bacterial small subunit ribosomal RNA", at positions 523 to 796 of the family's 1533-position model. The record is from RNAcentral.
AAACGUAGGUGGCGAACGUUAUCCGGAUUUACUGGGCGUAAAGCGCUCGCAGGCGGCUUCGUAAGUCUGACGUGAAAGCUCCCGGCUUAACUGGGAGAGGCCGUUGGACACUGCGGAGCUUGAGGGCAGGAGAGGAGAGUGGAAUUCCCGGUGUAGCGGUGGAAUGCGUAGAUAUCGGGAGGAACUCCAGUGGCGAAGGCGACUCUCUGGCCUGACCCUGACGCUCAGGAGCGAAAGCGUGGGGAGCGAACAGGAUUAGAUACCCUAGUAGUCC